UUCAGCAGAAUUUAGAAACACAACUCUUCCUAAACAGAUAUUUUGAGGCUGUGAGGUUGAACGUUUGAGAGUAUAUCAGUGUGUUUGUUUGUGGUCUUUCUGUUUCUAGGUGGAAGCUGAAUUAGUGAGGAUGACUCCUGCUCCUGUCAUCUCUAAGCUCCUCACACAUCUUUACCUGCACAUGAGGAAAAUCACUCCUGUAGAAUGCAGAUGUUCAGAGGGAGAUGAUGCCACAUCUGGUCCAGCUGAUGGAAGGUCUUGAAGUUCUCUGACUGGCCUCGACUGAAGAUGGUCGUCUCACUGGAUUUAAGGUUCAGAUGCUCAGUAACAAACUCCACCAAUGAGCCAACAGGGAAGCUUUAGGUUUAUUAAAUGUUGCUAUGAAGGUAUCGCUGUUUUUCUUUGUGAAUGCAAUGUGUUCCAACUGAAACUUGAAUUAGAACUUGGAAGUAAAUCCUUCCAUCUGAAAGGAUUUAGUUGCAUUAAUAACCUCAUAACAUUCUAAUUUUUAUUCCAGUCUUGGUUGGAAAUAGAAUCUCUGUAUUGAUUCAGGUAAAAACUGAACUUCACAGCAUGUUGGAGCAAAACAACCAGAUGAAAACUGUGAUGGUGUUGGAUUGUCAGACCGUAAUGUUGCAGCUCAAAGCAGCUUUUCUAUCUCAGUUCAUUCUGACAUUCAGCUAUGAAUCAACACAGCAGAUGGUGAUCCAUGCUGUGGAAGUCUCACAUCUCCUGAUUUAAUGGAGCUGCUUUGCACUUUUUACACUGUUUAUUCACCAACACUUUAUUUAAUAAAAGUCCCAUCAAGUUUUUAUGAGGAAUGUGAUGUUUUAAUUUCUCUGUGAAUAACUGCAGUCUAAUGUAACAGCUGGAGUUGUAACGUGUCCUGAUAUUGAUCAUGAAGUAUUGAUCAGAAUACUUAUGGUUAGCAGUCAUCCCUGAAGUUUUACAUUAAAAUCUUUACUUGUGUUGUGAACUUUGGUAAGAAGCAGAAAUGUUAGCGUUGCCAUGGAUACAUGAGUGUUAAAUUCUGUCCAUGUUUCCAUUUUGGGAAAUUCAGUCCAGUUCCAGAAUGUGGAGGAAUUUAGUCUCACAAUCACAGACAACAAA
Molecule: long non-coding RNA, 1110 nt
Organism: Amphiprion ocellaris (clown anemonefish)
Lineage: Eukaryota; Metazoa; Chordata; Actinopteri; Pomacentridae
Exons: 2
Source: RefSeq, a predicted model, not a curated record